Molecule: long non-coding RNA, 2589 nt
Organism: Triticum dicoccoides
Lineage: Eukaryota; Viridiplantae; Streptophyta; Magnoliopsida; Poales; Poaceae
Exons: 4
Source: RefSeq, a predicted model, not a curated record
UCUCCAAUAAUUUUGAGAGAAGACGAGUCCCUUCCCCCGCGUCGCCCGAGCGGGCGACUCGGGGGCGAAACCCUCGCGCCGCCUCGGUCCCCUACCUCCUGCCCUCUCUCCCCCGCCGCCGCCGGCGACUGCCGCCGGGCUUGGCCCGCGCGGUGGUAGGCGGCGGCGGGGCUUCCCCGCGCGCCAUCAGCCGGUCCUCCCCGUCGCCCCCGCCCCCAUGGUCGCUGCUUCCGGUCCUUCCCCGACACCUUCCCGGCGGCGACGCCCUCCCCUGCUGCUGGCCCGCCGCGGUGCCUGAUGUGGCCGCCGGUGUUGGCCUGGGUCCGUCUUCUCUGCGAUUCGGCUCCUGCUGCUGCUCCACCCGCCAGAUCUGGAGUUGGUGGGGGCCCCGAUGGCGGUGGGCCUUUCGAUCCGGCCACCUCGUGCCGGGACAGGGUUGUGGCCCUGCUCCUGCUCAGGCCAUCGCAUCCGCCCCUGUGUCGCCGGAUCUGGCGCCCCGACGAGUGUUGACCAAUUUUCAGGCCGGAUCUGCAUGGGGAGGCGGUUGCAGGCGCCUCUUCUUUCUUCGUGGUGCUCGGAGGUGGCUGCGGUAGUGCUCCUGGUGGCGGUGGUGGGCGUGGUGACUAGCUUGGAUGGGAUGUGCGUGGUGGGUGGAUGCCGGUGCGGCGGCCCCGGACUUGGUGGACGGCGUCGGCUUUGCGGCGAGCGGCGUCGAUGGGUGUUGUACCGUGCCCUUGGCCGCGGGGGCGGCGAGGAUGCGGUGUCUGUGCACCGUGGUGUGCUUGGCUCUCCGCGGCCUUGUGCACCGGUGCGUCGAUGACCGCUGUCCCUUCCCGGGUCUGUGCUCUCCUGGUCGGCUCCGGUCUUGUCGUCCUCUUCGGCCUUGGGAUAGGACGUUGCGGAGGGCGACCAGGGGAAACCCUUGGCUUGCGGCAGAGGCCACGAUGUUGGCGACGCCUUUGGCACCGGUUCCCUCCUUUGAGGCUUCGUCGAGGUCCCCUCCUACCUCCUACACUUGCACUUUGCUUUGGGUGAAAACCUUGUCCCCUUGGUGGACGGCGGCGUCGCUGCUCGUCGCUACCCUUCUUGGAGGCGUCGUCUGGGGGACGCAGGUGUGAGGUUGGCACUCGGCUGCUAGGAUUGGGAUAGCUGAUGGCGUUCAUGCUCUUCUUCGUCUUUGCUGACGAUAUGUUCUUCUACGCCGGUCUUCGUCGUACGGUGCCGCGUUUCUGCUUGCGCUUGUGCAGCCUCGCUGUGGUGGUCCGAGAGGUUGUGGAAGGCUAUGCUUAUGCCCGCGGCGCUCCGAUCUCCUUCCCGUGCCUACCCUGUCGUCGUUGCUCAUCCGAGCUCAUGGUGAGCGCUUUGCCUUCCGACGGUCCGGCGCCCUUCGAGCCAGGGCGAGAUGGUAGUGGCCCUCUUCGGAGGCAGACGGAUGGCAGGGCGACCGUGUUUCGGUCCUGUGAAGUGGGCUUUGAGGCUGCCCUCCGAUGUUGGCGACUCCUUCUUCAACUUUCUUGUGUUGCUUGCUUUGUUGUCUGGUUGUAAGCUGCUCCAGCACCUUGUAUCUUGCGCCGUUUUCUUUUUCCUGUUGUAUGGUAACUGCCCUUGUAAUCCUGGCCGGUUGAUGGCUUUGUUAAUUCAAAGUCGGACUAGGUUCGGGCCUCCCUCGGACGCGGCUUAGUCUUUUCUCUAAAAAAAAACUCAUGUCCAGGCCGAUCGUUUUCUCCCAGUCCUGGGAUCAACCACGAAACUUGAUCUUCUUGGGAUUAAUAACUCCAUGACUAGAAUCGUGCUGUAGUAAUCCAUUUUACUACCAGUCCAACAUGACGUGCUGCCUCCUCAUAUUAUUCUUUUGGUAGCAGUAGCCGCCUUAAUUUUUCCUGUAUCCAGAUCUUUGAUUAUGUAAUAAGCAUAGCCUCUACAUCAUGCCAUUGUGGUGUCUAAAUUGGUUGUGUCAUGGAUACCUCUACUGCAGGAUUGGUGAUCCACGUUUGCAGCUUUAUAAGUUCCCUUUAUAAUAAUUUCAGGCUAUAUAUUUUCUAUUUGUUCAGUAGAUGCCUGAUGAAAUCCCCGUCGGAGCCAACAAUUUAUUUUACUACCAGAUAUAUCUAUUAAACUCUGAGGACAAGAUCAUCAAGUCUCAGAGUUAACAAAAGUACAUGGGGUUAUUCUUCACAUUAAGUAAUUGGUGGUCAUAUAUAGGGGUUAGUGUCGAACCACUAGCAUCGAGCAAAUGAUUGGAGCAAAUAUGGGUGAUGGCGUACACAAAGUAGUUUGAGUACACUAUGUUCUGAUAAAAAAUGAAUACACAACAGGGUGAGGAUCGAUGCUUGAUGAGACUGCCGCGGAAAAUGGUGAUGGGAUUGACCGAACCCUGUUACUGUUCCCCCUUUUAUAACCAAACGAACAAGGUUAAUUAAACAUUGAAGAAACUUUUUACAACUGUAUGCACAUAAAUACAUGUAAUUAGCAGUUUUACAUUGGACAAUGUAAGCAUAUGGAGAUGCAUUAGCCUUCAUCACGGCUGUGCUGAUGUUGUAUAUAUGUACUGCCUAUAUUUCGAAUUUAAGAAUUACACAUAUUCGAAUA